GAUGAACGCUGGCGGCGUGCCUAAUACAUGCAAGUCGAGCGAACGGACGAGAAGCUUGCUUCUCUGAUGUUAGCGGCGGACGGGUGAGUAACACGUGGAUAACCUACCUAUAAGACUGGGAUAACUUCGGGAAACCGGAGCUAAUACCGGAUAAUAUUUUGAACCGCAUGGUUCAAAAGUGAAAGACGGUCUUGCUGUCACUUAUAGAUGGAUCCGCGCUGCAUUAGCUAGUUGGUAAGGUAACGGCUUACCAAGGCAACGAUGCAUAGCCGACCUGAGAGGGUGACCGGCCACACUGGAACUGAGACACGGUCCAGACUCCUACGGGAGGCAGCAGUAGGGAAUCUUCCGCAAUGGGCGAAAGCCUGACGGAGCAACGCCGCGUGAGUGAUGAAGGUCUUCGGAUCGUAAAACUCUGUUAUUAGGGAAGGACAUAUGUGUAAGUAACUGUGCACAUCUUGACGGUACCUAAUCAGAAAGCCACGGCUAACUACGUG
Molecule: ribosomal RNA, 497 nt
Filed under: uncultured bacterium
Lineage: Bacteria
Description: partial 16S ribosomal RNA
Rfam family: Bacterial small subunit ribosomal RNA
Source: RNAcentral